RNAcentral lists this transfer RNA (74 nucleotides) under Microcaldota archaeon. Its description in RNAcentral is "tRNA-Lys". It matches the Rfam family "tRNA". Rfam says of the family: Transfer RNA (tRNA) molecules are approximately 80 nucleotides in length. Their secondary structure includes four short double-helical elements and three loops (D, anti-codon, and T loops). The record is from RNAcentral. Lineage: Archaea; Nanobdellati; Microcaldota.
GGGCCCGUAGCUCAGCCUGGCAGAGCGCCCGGCUUUUAACCGGUAGGUCGUGGGUUCAAAUCCCACCGGGCCCG